AUACAAUAUACAGAUGAGGUAUUAUAGAAUUGUACACCUGAAACCUAUAUAAUUUUAUUAACUGAUGUUACCUCAGUAAAUUCAAAAGAAAUUUAUUGUGGGCAGGUUU
Pipistrellus kuhlii (Kuhl's pipistrelle) is the source of this 109-nucleotide long non-coding RNA. RefSeq lists it as uncharacterized. The transcript has 3 exons. The record is from RefSeq and is a predicted model, not a curated record. NCBI's taxonomy places the organism in Eukaryota, Metazoa, Chordata, Mammalia, Chiroptera, Vespertilionidae.